AUUGACCUGAAAAAAUUUCCAGAAGCAGAAGAGUACAGGAAGCUGAGGGAAGCAUCAGAGACAUGGGGAUGCUUCAGGCUUGUGAACCACAUGAUCCCACCAGCUCUGAUGUCGGAGAUGAUAUCAGUGGUCAGAUCUUUGCUGGACCUGCCCAUGGAGAUCAAGAAGCAGAACAAGGAAGUGAUAGCUGGCAGUGGAUACCUGGCUCCCAGCAAAGUCAACCCUAUCUAUGAAUCUUUAGGGUUCCACGACUUGGGAUCGCGUCAGGCUCUGGACAGCUUUUGCUCUCAGUUAAAUGCUUCUUCGUACCAGAGGUUAGCUUUUGAUCGUCUGAUAAUUUUACUAUUGCUUAAAUUUUAGCUAAGAGAAAACAAGAAAACACAACCUAUGUGUCUAGUGCUGCUCAGUCUCUGCUGAGGUCAAAUCUCAAACGAUGAUCGUUGAAUGAGAAGAUUGGUAGAACCUUAAUCUCUAGAUUAGUAAAUAAUGAUAUAUAUUAUUCGGUCAACAUGUCAACCCUAAACUCGAAGCUCUAAACUCUAUUGACGACUAUUUAUUGAAUGAAGAAGAAAAUAAAUUACAACCUUAAUAGAUUUUUCGAUACUUGUAUAUGUUAAAAAGCCACUUGGCUCCUUAAUUGCAAGGAACAAUUCCUCGUUACCUACCUGCAAAUAACAACAAAUACUGAAUUGACUUAAAAUAUAAAAACAAAAGUAUCCACAAACAUGUCAAUUGUGAUUUAUCAAUACUUAAAAACACAAAAACAAAAGUUUCUGCACAUAUGUUAAAUUGUGCUUUAGCAAAAUGUUAUAUACAAUGGUUUCAUCUAGAACAUUAAAAUCUAGUUGUUAAUUUGAGCAUACGUUGAUGCAUAGUAGAAAAACUCGUCUUAAAGUUGUUUUUGUCACUAAACCAACAGAGAGGUGAUAGAGAAGUAUGCUCAAGCAGUGUGCGAGCAGAUUGUGGACAUAGGGCAGAAGUUGGCAGAGAGUCUAGGGUUGGCUGAUAGUGAUUAUCUCAAGGGGUGGCCCUGCCAGUUCAGGAUAAACAAGUACACCUUCACUUCUGAAUCAGUUGGAUCCCUUGGCUUACGAUCACAUACAGACUCAGGAUUUCUAACCAUUCUUCAGGACGAUGAAAUUGUCGGUGGCUUGGAAGUAAUGGACAAAUCCGGCGCCUUUGUAGCCGUUGAUCCUUGCCCAGGCACUCUCGUUGUUAAUCUCGGGGAUGUCGCUCAUGUAAUAUAUUGUCUGUUUAGCGUCCCUCAAAUUCUCCAAGUUUGUAACAUGUUUCAUUUGUGCAUAUUUCCUUAUGUUGUUAAUAUUUUAUGUCAAGGCAUGGAGCAAUGGAAGGUUGUGCAAUGUGAAGCACAGAGUACAAUUCCGGGAGGCAAGAAUUCGAGUUUCGAUCUCUUCAUUCCAACGUGGACCGGAUGAGGAAGCGGGAGUGGAAGCUCCUCCAGAAUUGGUGGAUUCCGAGCACCCUCGACUUUACGUUCCCUUUACUUAUGAAGAUUACAGAAAGCUAAGACUCUCCGCAAACCUGCAUGCUGGUGAAGCCCUUCCACUCGUACGCAACCUCUCGUAAAGAGUAGUUUGGUAUUCUUGUGUUUUUUAAAUAAACCGUUGUGAGAAUAAAUAAUUAUAAAGUAAAGUAAUAAAGUGUUUGGUAAAUUUUAAUUGUAAAAUGGCUUAUAGCAACAAAACAGUGUUUGAUAAACUUUUAUGUAAUACGGCUGUGAAAGUAUAAAAUGAUCAAAAUGGGUAUGUGAUAAUGUGAUAUUAUCAAAUUUAUGUUUAUUUUCUUCUAUUUUCAUAUUUAUCUUUAAUGUUUAUUUUUGAGUAAAUUACACUAAACUACCUUAAUUAUAAAUUGUACCAAAAUUUUAAAUUACACAAAAUUACUUUAAUUAUAUAUUGAACCACAAUCUCAUAUUUUAAAAUUGUAAUGUCAUACAUCAUCCUACCAAUUCGUGACAAUACUAAAGUCUCUGUUAGCUUUUCUGUUAAAUAGUUAUGUGGUAAGCUCGGGACUCACUUCUCAGCCAAUUAGAUUAAAACAUUAAUUAAGUAUUAAUAAAUUAAAAAAAUUUAACUAUUUAAAAAUUAAAAAAAAUCAGAAAAUUCAAUUAAACAUGCAGUUGGUAGAGAUUCAUUGUCUCUGUCUGUACCAUCAUCUUCUUCACUUCAUCUGGUACAUGACAAAUUAAAGGUAUUGGCUUAUGGCUCAUUUUCUCCGCACCAGCCACCGCUCACCGCCCACCCCCAUCGCCCACUUCUAUUACUAGAUCUCCGAUUUCUCUCUUCCUUUACUAAAAAAAUUAGGAAUUUGAGAUUGGCCACUCAAAACCACAAAGCAGCAACCUGGCAGUGUUCAACAAAGAAGCAGGCUCCUCCUUCAACAAAGAAGCAGCCAUGACGUUGAUCUGGUUCUGGAGAUUGACGGCGAUGAAAUAUGUCGGGUACGUGGUGUUGGCGUGAAUGCCGCGGCGGCGGCGGGGAUCAAGAAUUGGGGUUUCUCGGCGGCGGAGAAGGACUCGACGUUUUCUUGGCGGGUGAGGGCGUGGUUGCAGAGGACAAGGUUGGUGAAGCCUAGGCCUUGUAGUUUGUGGACGAUGGCGGAGGAGGGGUGUCGGAGGAGGCGCGGUGUUGUGGUUUCAGUGGUGAAGGAAGGAAAGGGGGGCGGAUAGAGGGGAAGAAGGGUGAGGAUGGGUGGUUUGGCUGGGGUGGGCCCACUCCUCUUGAUUUAACUUGUUUUGGUAUAGAAGUUACUUUUUUUUUUAAUUUAUUUUUUUAUUUUAGAAAAAUAUGAAUUGCACUAUCAAUUAAUAGUCAAUUUAACAGACUAAUUAACAGAAGUUUGACAUUGUCACAAAUUUAAAAAUUGAGAUAUGACAUUGCAAUUGAGAUUGGGUGCGAUCCAUAAUUUAGGUAGUUUUGAGUAAAUUAUCCACAAGUCUAACUUGAAAUAAUAAUGGAGGUUUUGAACAUUAGUCCUUGUAAAAUAUUAAAAUUUUAAAAAAACCUUGCAAAAGAGUAAAUUACCAACAAGACGCUUAUGCUUGUAAACGUUUCUCCUGCUGAAUCAAAUGUGGACGAGACGUACAAUUCUCUAAUGUAUGUCACACUUCUCUUUAUUAUUUACUUUGUCUAAUUUCAAAUAAUUUAACCCUUAAUGUUUCUCCCAAAAGGUAACGACUACUAAUUUUUCACACCUUUAUGCUAAAUUCAGGUAUGCAUCAAGAGUUCGAUCAAUCGUGAAUGAUCCAAGCAAAAACGUUUCUUCAAAAGAAAUCAUGCGGCUGAAGAAGUUGGUUGCAUAUUGGAAAGAACAAGCAGGCAAGAGAGAAGACGACGAAGAUUUGGAAGAAAUUCAGGAUGAGCGACCGGGGAAAGAUAGAGAUGGCCGCCAUUCCAUGUAAACUUUCGCAGAAACUAGAUUGGCGAAACUUGUAGUUGGAAAUACUAGCAUUACAAGUUUAGGCAGAAUUUUGGAAUGUAAGCUUUAGGGUUUCGGCACGGUAGACCACAUCGAGCGAGCAUACGAUUUGGUUCUGUGUUCUAGUUGAUACUCUCGUUUUCUCAUUGUGUUGUGGUGAAAAAAGGUUGUAACCGGGUUAGGAGGAUAUAAGUUGUACAGUGUGGAUGGUGUGUAUAUAUGACAUACUCUUGGUUUUAUUUGUAUAUGGAGUUCGAAAUUUCGCCGUCGUCUUUCAUGUUUGUUUUCUCCAUAUUUUUGCUUCAAAGAAAAUACAGCCACUCAGAUUUUAUCCCAGCCAACACAAAGUGAAAUGAAAACAGAAAAGAAAAAAAAGACAGUUGCAGGAGUGAUGAACAAAUCUGGUGCCCUUGUGCCUGUUCAUCCUUUGCCCUGGCACUCCCCUUCGUCAAUCUUGGAGACUUUGCUCAGGUAUUACGUGACUAUUUUCUACAAUAAUAAUGCUAUUUAAUAACACCGUGUCGUUGAUAGUUUUAUACCAAGGCAUGGAGCAAUGGGAGGCUGUCCAUUUUUCUUAUGGCCAAAGGAGGAGGCGAUGGAAGCUCCGCCAGAACUCGUGGAUUAGGAUCAGCCUCGUCUCUACGUCCCUUUUGUGUACAAUGUUAUAGAGCUCAUUUGACAAGUGCUUUUAAAUGACCGAAGGCUCUUUUAGAUAAAAUAUUUUUGUGUUGUAAAAGCAACAUGUACUUUUAGCAUGAACAACACUUCAAGUGCUUUUCCAAAAUUAAAUUUCAUUUUUACUAAGAUUUGGUUCCAAAAAUAUUUUAUCUAAAACUGCUUUCAGGUGUUUAACACUUGCCAAAUGGGUCUACAGAGUUAGCAAGUUCAAACUCUCCAGAAAAUUGAAAGCUGAUGGAGCCCCUGCACUCCUACCUACGCACCCCUUGCUAAUUUGCUGAUAUGUAUAUGGCAAGCUUAGGUAGCAUAUAUCAUCCUGCCCUUAGCCUAUGUUAAACCCAGAAAGAUCAAAGCAUUUGUAGAAUUUUAUCUUGUACGUGAGGUUUUAAGUUCAAAUCCUCCUCUCCGAGUGUGUACCAGAAAAAAAAAACUUCAAUUGAAUUCUUAUCGAACUUAAGUAUAAAAUAUAUCUUUUAUCAAGCUUAGUGGAUAUUUUUAUAAUUUUUCUGCUAUUUUCUCAUCAUACAUUCUACUAAACCUUUUUAUCUAAUUUGCUAAAUAGAUAUUUUCAGAGGAGUUUCUGUGAACAUCCAAAUAUUAGGCUUAUCACAAAAUUUGAUAUUCCUAGCAUUAUUGACCUUCAUAGCAUCUCACUUAACCCAUAAAUAUUCGAAAAGGAUAAUGAUUUUAAUCCCCUUUAGCUAUAUAUGCACUUCAAAAUAAAUGUAUAUUCCAAUUUUCUCAACUCUUUAAAUUAAGGGAACUUUAACGAAAAACUUCUGGUACUGUUCACUUUAACGAAAAAUCAUAUUUUUACAUUAAAAAGUCAAUCCUGGUACUAUUCACUUUACCCUUUAUUUUGUACUUAUCGUUAAAACUCAAAGUUUUGAAGCUUUUUUCAUUAGUUUUCCUUUAAAUUAAGAGACUAGCUACUGUAUGUUAAUAUAUUCACCAUCUAACAGUCAUAUAUGCAAUCGAAAAUAUAGAUUAUCAUCUCUACCCAUAUAUAUGUUAGACGGUGAAUGUCUUCUAGCAACCCCAAGCCAACAAGACCCUCCUCUUUGCGAGGAUUGGAGGAGGGGAGAAGGGGGUUAACGUCUAUUGUUAUUGGUUUUUGCAAUUUUUUUUGUCAUUCCUAAUGUUAUAACACGUCUAUAAUUUUACCAUAUUUUUGAAAAUUGUGAAAUUAUCAAAAUGCUCUUAGAGGGUAUGUGUUGACUUUCAUUGACUUAGUAGUUAGGACACGUGUGAGAUAUUAAUUAUUAUAUUCUAAUAGUAUUUGUCAUUACGGACAACUGAGCACAUGCGUAGUGAAAAUUGGAAUAAGAAAGAUUUUACAAAACCUGUAUCAAUCAUUUUAUUCAAGGUAGAGGGAAAAGAUAAUAUCACUACUAAGAACCAAAUACAAUUCUUGUUUGUUCGGCUUGAAGUGUAGUUCUUGACAUGUUAUCUUCUUUUUGGGUAGGCGAUACAGACUCGGUGGAUAAAUCCAAAUAUCAUUCUGAAAAACCCAGAUGAGAGCUACAUCUACAGUAAGAGGUGGGGAAGCAGAAAGUGAAGGUUAAGUUGCGGAUUAAUGUAUGGGUCAUGAUUCUGGUUAUGUUUUGGAAUUGGACCCAAUAACGUUUUCUGGCGGGGUCAGAGAGGAUCUAUAUAUAUCAUUUCCUUUUUUUUUUUGGUCACAUAUAGAGAAAUAUAAGACAGACAGUUUUAUACCUGAGGAGAAAGAUAAAAAAUAGCGGGCAUUACAUAGGGGCAUGAAAGUAUUGUUGCUAAAAUUUGGAUUGUAAUGGUUUUUUUUUUUAUUUUUUUUAUUUUUUUUAUUUUUGGAAAUAGGAUUGUAAUGGUUUAGAGAAAAUUGUAAUAAUAGUCUUUCAAUUUUAAUCUAAUUAGAGUAAGGAUUUCUCAACUAAAAAUCCAUAAUCAUUGGUUCCUCAACUCAUAAAAAAGUGCAACUAUGGUCAUUUUCGUCAACUUUGUUAGAAUUCUGUCACAAUGAGUCAUGCUGGAAGAAUUAUUGCUACAAUUUGGUUAAAGUUGAAGAAUCAUUGCUCCAAUUUGGUUAAAGUUAAAGGACCAUUUCUCCAAAUAGGUUAAAGUUAAAUGAUCAUUGUAAUUUUUCUCAUUCGGUUUUCCAUAUUUGUCCUUUGGUUGAACUUCACACGCGUGACACGUGACUCAUUUUGACAGAAGUUCUAACGGAGUUGACGAAAAAUAUGAAGCAAAAAAUAUCCCAAAAAUUAGAGAAGACACGUGAACAUUUGUGAACAUUUUUUUAAGAAAGAUAAGAAUGCCCUCAUUAAAUGCUUGGAGCAAAAACCAUUUUUUUCAUGCAACCUGAAGCUGUUGUUGUUGGGCUGCAGCUCACGCUGGGGUUACAUAGACAGCACCCCGAAUUUUCUAGGCUGCUCCAAUCUCGACGCAAGCCAAUUUAUGGCUUGUUUUUUAUUCAAGCUGUACCCAACAAUGUUGGGAUGCCUACGGCUAAACUCAAAUUUGGGUACACACCCCAACUCUAGUGUCUAAUGGAAACCAAAAUCAAGGCGUGAUCAUCACUCGAAUAAGUGAUGAAGUCAUAAUAUACAUGAACUCAUAACUAAAAUUAGUAAAUUUUAAAAACUACGGAAAUUUUGACAGAACUUCCCCUAAUACAUGGAUAAGACAAAUCAAAACACCUGCAAGUACGUACUUUAUUUCAAUACUUUUGCAAAGGGCCACAAGGCAACCCUAACUCAAGUGAUUUGGUCUAAAGUCAACCACCCUAAUUAUUUUUAUUCCGAAUCAGACCACAAUUCAACCUAACCCAAAUGAUAUUCGAUUUGGGUUGGAUGCUCCAACUAUGCUGUUUUGGAUCAGGUCUUUUGAUCCAGAGUUGGAUGCUCUUUGUGGCACCAUAUAUAAUUCAGUUAUGUGUUUUAUCGAAUCCGAUCACAAAUGAGAUAGUGUGUUUAGAACAUAAUUUUUAAAAAACAAAGCAGCAAAUCGAAUUCCAAUUUCCUUGCAAUCUUUGAUGUGAAUAAUUACUUGAUGAGUGAAAGUGAACAAAAAUUGCAAAUUAAAAUUGACGUGUCACCUCAUAAUUAAACCCAGCUCAUCCUCCCAUACACGAAACAAACACAACAAAAUCUCAUCUUUUUCCACACAAACAAACAGAGAGAGACAACGGCAGCUCAGCUUCCUUCAUCAAGAUUCGCACAAUAAAGUUUACCCAGCUGUUCAUCGAUGGAGAUUUCGUCGAUUCCGUUUCAGGUUUCUCGCCAUUUUUUUUCCUUCUUUUCGCAAGCUAUGAGCUUUCAUUUAGUAAAAACCGUUUCUUUACUGCCCGUUUUCACCAUGCCUACGAACUGUUUGUGUUUCUGCCUCAACCAAAUUUGCGAACUCUCAACAUUCAAGAGCCCAUCUAUUUUUUAAUCUUGUUAAUGACACAUAUAUGAAGAUGUAUACAUAUACAUUUAUAUAUAUACACAGGAUCAGCUCUGAGAUUUUAUGUAUCCUGUGUGGAAGACAACAAAUUGGCCUUGUAUACAAACUCUUGCUACAAAGCUAAUUUAUCUGUCUACCAUUGUAUUAAUAAGCGAUCUAAAUGAAGUAUUAUUACUUGAGUUAUAGUUUAAACUAACACAUUACCUUCACAAAUUUCAAUUAAGUGCCUCAAAUGUUCGCCAACUUCUCAACAAUUUCUUCCUGUGGCUUGUCAACUAUGGUGCCCUUCUACAUUCAAAAAGGGGAAUGAAAUGUUAGAGCAUGAAAAGGAAUCCAUUUGAUCUCGGUCAUGAAAGUUUCUUGUAAAUACCUCAGAGUCAUCCAAAAGCCGAAGUGAGCCAGAUUUGCGUUUCAGAAGAUCAACAACAGUUUCAUUGUAGAUAUCCAAAGCAGAAAAUUUCAAAACAAAAAUCCCUUUCUGGCGUCUACGAGAGGAUUCCAAAGGCUAUAUGGUCAUGGUAUGAACUAUGACGUGCAUUCUUGAUGUGUUUGAAGAUGCCCCUCACUGCAUUUUCGGUGAUUCCUCUUGUGGUAAAUGUCUUACCACUACUAGUCUGCCCGUAUGCAAAAAUUGUAGCAGUCAAAAGAAAAUGUGGCAACUUAGAAUCGGCAGAAGACCAUGUUGCACGGGAUAUAAUGUACAUAUAAGUCUACAAGUUAGUAGCUCGAUGUUCAGUUACCGUUCAUUCCUGUGAGUGCAGAUAAAGCAACAUCCUUGGCUCCUUCCUCGUAAACCUUCUGAGUUGAGCACAUCAGGCCAAAAACCUUAUCUGUCGCAUUUAAAUCACAACAAAUGAGGUACUUGAGUAAAAACAACUCUAUCAGAAACUUGACUCCGAAGAAAACAAAACGGAAUGUACCAAAAAUUACAAUAUCGUACAUCAAAUUAUUUUCACACAUCGAAACCUCUGCGCGGUUGACAGAAUUCAGCAGCGAACAAAGGCGUACGGGUUUGAAGGCCGCUCAUGAUUCGGAUUCUUUGAAAACUAUAGUGUGCUCAUCCAAGCAGUCCCAAGCUAUAACAUCAUACAUUACCUGCUCUCGCCUGUUCAGCGGCCUCAAACGAACAGUAACCAAAAUUUUCUCCUCACUGACUUUUGAACCACCCGGAGCGGAACACGGAGUCCUUUGCAGCUUAGCCGAAGGUGUUGCUGGUGUCCCCGGCAUUAUAUUCACUUACUAACCUCCACUCUAAAAGAACAACAGAAGCCAAAUCAAUCAGAAUCAUCACCGAUCAUAAAAAUUCACAUUUUCGAUCUAGAACAAUCCAGAGAAUUCCUAGAGAACUACUUUUCUUGGAUUGCAAAAUUUAACCGAUACAAAUUGGCGAAAACCCUGGCAGGGAGGCCGGGGUUUGGACCCACUUCGGGUUGUAGACGCGUGUCACCCGUGCGGUAGUCACGUUCUGAGUUUACAAACAGGAAACGGGGUGAUAAAGAGUAAUGCUGUAUAGAAAAAAUUUGGAAACAAAAUUUAUGGGUAAAUUAUAUAAAAUUACUUUAAUUAUUAAGUCUGAAUUUUAUUGGAGUCAACCAAAGGAGUCCUAAGCCAACAAGGCUUCCUGCUUUGUGAGAGACGGAGGAGGAACGUCUAUCGUAAGCUGUCUUACUCUUGCUUUGCAAAUACGCUGUUUUCAUUACUCGAACUUGUGACUCUUUGGUCAUAAUGGAGCAACAUUUCCAUUGCGUUCAAGUUCGCCCUCAAAUAAAAAAGAGAGUACAAAAGAUAAAAAAAAGGGUGUGAAGAAAGCCACUUAACAAUCUAAAGUGCUUUUGUUGCAGUAUUCAAGUAACUUUUCUAUGUGCAAGAUUGGUUUGACAUACAAACAUAGUAGCAUCAUGUUGCAUUGCAUUGUGCUGGUGAAAAAUGAGCGCAUCAGUAAAGAAAGAUAAAUUAUUGUUGAUGACAUCAAGUUGUCACAAAAGUUACUUUCAUAUUAAAAGGUGGUAUAUAUGAAAAUACUUCGUAUAAAUCACUUUUGAAAAGAAGUUGUCACAAUAAUUAUUCUCUUUUAGCUUGAUUACAUUCACAUUUGAAGUUAGUAGGUAGGAAACUGUUUUGCAGAUAGAAAGAAAAGCGAGGACUGAUAUAACAAGAGAGUGUCCAUUGUCCCUACUACGCUGCAUAUACUAAGAAAAGUCCUGGAAGUUGUUCUUUUGAUUUUUGGUCAUGACUUAGUUGACUGGGAACCUUUGUUUACGUAAAGUUAGAUUUCAACUAAGUGUUCAGACGAUUACCGUUUCAUCAAUCAGUAGAUAUGUACACAUUUUAUCCUCCAUCAUUUUCUAAGAUGAAAAGACGUGAAUAAAAAUUCAUAUGUUAAGUUAUGAAUGACUUACUGAUGUUAAGAGUGAAUUUCAAAUCAGAUAAAAAAGUAACUUUAUAUGUGUUUAUAAGUAAUUAAGUUACUUCUUAUAUUGUCAAUUGUUUUUAUGAUGGAAUCUCACGUAAUGGACAACCUAAUUUGAUAUCGAAUUUAUCAUCUACGAGAUUUGAAGAUAAGAUCUCUAACUUCUGAAUGAAGAAGAAUACCACCAUAUUAUACCGUUAAAUUUUCAUGAUUGUCCCAGUUUCUAGUUCAUUGGCUUCCAUCCACAAACAAAACUUUUAUAUGGGAUAGGGUUCUUCUAUAUCGUUUGGUACGUGGGACGGAACGGGACAACUUUGGCUGAUUUUUCGUUCCACCUCUUCCUCUUGGAACGACCCGUUCCACAUCCGUGGAACACAAAUUUAUAACAUUUUAUGACAAAAUUUCUCCUUAUCUUUUUCAAUAUUUACAUCAUCUGUUCCGUCUUGUUCCGUCCCGUCUGCGUACCAAACGGUACCCUAAGUCAUGAGUAACCAAAUUGAAAGUCUGUGUUCACCAAAAAAUAAAAAAUAAAAAAUAAAAAAUAAAAAAGGAAAAAGAGGAACUCUGUACUCUUUUUGUCCAAGUUGAAAGUCUGGAUUGUUUUUACUCCAACUUAAGUCAUAUUGCGGAACUUAUACCUGCAUGGUUUUAAACUCGACUUUUAUAAAGAGUAAUAUUAAGAAUAUUAAAUUUAUAGAUUAAAUUUUGUAAAUUAAAUAAUAUGAAAAUUGAUAAUUGAGUUAUUACUUAAACAUUAAUAAACAUGUUUAUUUUUUUAUUGGUUACACAUCAUUUAAGUUUUAAUUUUAAUCUAUAAAUUUAGUCUUCCUAUCAUUACUCUUUUGGAAAUGAUGAGUUUUAUACCAAGAGAGAGAGGAUUCUUGCCGGAUACUCUUUGUGAGAAUCUUGGAGAUCUUCUAAUCACAUUUGUUUAUCGUGCAUAAUGUCAUCAUUUUAUGUCAAGUACAGUUUAUAUUUAAUAUUAAAUAAAAAAUUUACAAUAAUUUAUAAUUGCACCUAUAUAACGAAUAUGAUUUAAGAAUUCCUGAAUCCUUCACAAAAAGCACACGGCAAAGAUUUCUCUUCUAUACUGAUCUAUUAUUAUAGUGGCCCACUUCUGCAAGUGGAGAGCCAUGCGUUGAAGCACAAACAUGGAAACUGACGCGCACGAUCCCAUCUGCAGGAGGUGACCCCACCCACGUGGGCUGUCCGGGCACUUGCUGCCUUGAAUAUUGAGCCCAAUGGCACUUUUGACUAAUCCAAAGGCAGACAAAAAUUUAUAUAUCCAUAUACUAGUAUACAUAAAUUUAUUAUAAACACUAACAAACUACCACACUUAGAUUGGAUGUGUUUCAUAUAUAUAUUUCAUGUGUUUCGUGUUUUAUGCAUAUUUAUUAAGAAAUUUUAACGAAAAGCUCCUGGUCUGUUAACUUUAAUGAAAAAUCAUAUUUUUACACUAAAAAGUCAAUCAUGAUAUUAUUCACUUUACCUUUUAUUUUGUCUAUAUCAUUAAAACUCAAAAUUUUCAAGCCCUUUUCAUUAGUUUUUCUUAUUUAUUAUGUGUUUUAUUUUCUUUCAUAAUCUUUUAUGAGUUUUUUGGUGUCGAUUUAUAGUGUAAAAAUAAAAAUCCAAACAUGUACGUUUAAUGCCAUGUCAGUGGUUAAUUUGAUUUCCUUCAUAUUUAUGGUGCUAAUUAAUAUGUUUUAUGUAAAAGAAAUUGCAUUCAUCAGUACGCAUUGCAUGAAAAAGGGAAGAAUAAUUUGUCCAAUAUAAUCAUUUUAUUAUAUAACCGAAAGAAAAAGGUAAAUAAUUGUAGCUGAGUGGUUUCCAACUAAUAAUAGUGUGAUGAAACGAUGAAUUGACCAUCAAGAUCACCAGACAUUUGAAUAUACGAAAAAGGAAUGCGUCGGUAACAAAAAAACAAACUGUUUGAUGAAAUGAUCUUGCAACGAAAGAGAUGAGAAGUUUCGUCUCAACUUUAAUCUUUUCACUUUAUCAGUCACAUUGAAAGGUAGUAAGUAAGAAGUUGCUUCAUUGGUAGGGAGAAAAGCAUGAUGACUGAUAUAUAUAACAAGUGAGAGUCAAUUGUCCAUACACCCAGACCAUCCUGCAUAUUCCAAUUCUUUGAGAGGCUCUUUUCCUUAGUUUAUGGUCUGGCUUUAAUUCUCCUAUGGCCAAUCAACUUGUCCCUUCUUCUUCCUCCAACAGUACUCCUUCAUGGACAUACGAUGUCUUUUUGAGCUUUAGAGGAGAUACACGCACCAAUUUUACAGAUCAUUUACACCAUGCCUUUGACCGUCACGGAAUCAAUACUUUCAUUGAUCAUCGUGAACUUCCAACAGGAGAAGAAAUAUCACCAACUCUUCUCAAAGCAAUUGAAAACUCGAGAAUUUCUGUCAUCGUAUUCUCUGAACACUAUGCAUCUUCAAGAUGGUGCUUGAACGAGCUCGUACAUAUCCUUGAAUGUAGAAAGUCAAAGGGACAACUGAUAAGGCCAAUUUUCUACAAGGUGGAUCCAUCGGAUGUCCGAAACCAAAAAAAAUAGUUAUGAUGCUGCAUUUGCUGACCAUAGCCUCAAAUAUAAGAAUGACCUGGAGAAGGUGCAAAGAUGGAGGACAGCUCUUACAGAAGCAGCAAAUUUGAAAGGAGCUACUCUCAAUGAGGGAGAGUACGUUUAUUUCUGACCCUUCCUGUAUAUGGUUUUUGAGUUGCUUUACUCUAUAUUUCAGAAUUUACUACUUCCUUUUACAAAAUAAUCUUUUUCUCAAUCUAAUGAUAUUUAGGGUUGUUUUAUUCACACUACACAUAUGAUUAAAUAUACCUCACAUAUUAAAUACACUUCACAUAUUGUUGAACACACCUUACAUACUAUAUAAUUAUGCAGGGCAUUUCUGUUGAUUUCAAAUUAGAAAGUGACAUACAAUGCAUAAAAUAAAGUUUAUCAAUGAAUUUUUACUUUUAUAAGGGAGGGUGGGAGUGGCUUGGAGAGCGUGAAGCAAAUUAAUUUUUGGGAUACACCUUAAAAAUGAUUUGGGGUACUCAAAAUUUUUGUUUGAUUUUUAAAUCUUAUUAGGCCUAAACAGUCAUUAUAUAAAUCUUUAAUAAUAUGUAGUGUGCUAAUAAAAACAACUCAAGCUAAAUCAAUAAUUUUUCCAACAAAAAGAGAAUAACAGUUAUAAAUUAGGGCUUAAUUGAUAUUAUUGUAUUCUCCUAACAAAAGAAAAAUGGCAAAAAAAAAAUAUAUAUAAGGUAUUUUGAUGUGGGUCCAAAGUAACUAAAAAUUGGAUCUAUUUCAAAAGUCAAAAGUCAUUAAAAAUUAGACAUAUUUCACAAGUUAAGCUAUAAAAUUGGACCUAUUUCAAAUUUUUCCUAUAUAUAUUGUUGGGAAUUUGGAAUUUUUUUAAAAAGUAGUGUUGCACUUAUCUUUUAUUUGUAUCAGUUCUUUAAGACCAUCUCCAACCCUUGGGCUAAAAGCCAAAUUUUUUAGCCCGGAAAAUUUAGCUUUUAGCCCAGAAACAUCUUUUCUACUCCAACCCUUCUACCCUAAAAUUUUAGCCCGGAAUUAUUAAAGAAUGAAAUUAGCCUAAAUUUUUUUCUUAAAUCAAUUUUUUUUUAAAAAUAAAUAUGUAGAUUAUUGUAAAUUAAUUUUAUGAACAUUUUAAUCUAAAAAAAUUUAAAUUCCGAUAAACAUUUCACAUUUAGCCCGGGGGAAAGCUGGGGGGUAUUUGGCCCAGAAAUAGCAUUUGGCAUUUAGCCUAAAAUUUUAGCAUGGGUUGGAGAGUGUUUGGGGGGUAAUUUGGGGGGUAAUUUGGCUUUUAGCCCAGGGUUGGAGAUGGUCUAAUAGAGACUAGCAUUUGUAUACACAUUUAUUUAUUUAUUUUUAACUGUAGAUGAGGCUUCAAUAAAAAAAAAAAAUUUGGACCUGUGAAAUUACAUUAUUGCCCAUCAUUUUUUUUUUGUGAUAGAAGAUUAAUUUGUCUUUUCACCCUCUUUUGGUUGAUGAAGAGGGUUUUAUUAAUUAGUAGAUAUAAGGUUUACUAACAUAUUUAAAUUUAUCUUUUUUAAAAUCGUUUGUUACUAUGAAUUAUGUUAGUUGACUGAAGAAUUAAGAAGUGCUUUUCACAAAAAAAAAAAAAGAAGAAGAAAAGAAUUAAGAAGUGCUGAAAUGAAAAUAAGAAUUAAGAGGCGUUCAGGGUCCGGAUUGGAUCAAGUUUACUGUUUGCCCCCAAAAUAAUUGUCAAAUCAAUUACGAUAUAACGAUUUAGUUUGGUUGAAACUUGAUAAAAAUCUGAAACAAACCGAAGCAAACCAACCAACCCAUAAGCCAUAACCGAAGCUAAUAUUUUUUCUUUUGCACUUUUUUUUUACUUUGUUAGCACUUAGAGUAGCCCAACAAUAACAAAUAAUUCCAAAUCUGCCACAUAUUAUUCAUAUUCGAGUACAUAUAACCACGCAUCUUAAAAUUCAUCAUGUCAUCAAACUUUAAUAUAACUCUACGAUAUCAUUAUCUUUAUAUUCAACAUCCUUAUCUAGUUAUUAGCCAAUAAGAGUACUAAAUGGGUAAAAUAAAAUUAAUAUAAGAACAAAUAAGAGUACUAACUGCAAUAAAUUCAUUAUUAGGGGUGAAUUUUUUCACCAUAUUACCGUACCAACCAAAUUACCAACGGUACCACACCAAUUUUGUGCCAAUUUUUGUACUAUAUGUAAUGGUGCGCUAAUUGUACCAUACCAACAUAAUUGGUAUGAUAAUGGUAUUUAAAAUCAAUAUGUACAGUACCAUAGAAAAUUAGAAUUAGAUGCCUUAUUUUAGACAUUUAUAAACUAAACAUUUGUUACCUUCCAACUUUUGAUUAAAUUGCUUUCACAUUUGAUUAAACCCUAUAUUCUAGGUAUAUUCUUAACUUAACUGUUUUUUUAAUUUUGAAUUUAUUUCCAUAUCAAAAAUGCUAAUAUUAAUUAAUUAAUUGCUAUUUUUAUGUAUCUCAUCACUUUCUCAAUUUAAGGAUUCAAUUAUAUCUAGUGGGAUGAAGAUUAAUUGGAUGGAAUAUAAUUUUAUUCAAUUUUCAACUCCACAUUUUAUAUAAAUUAUAAAAAAAAAAGUCAUUUUAAAAUUAAAAUAAAGACAACACAAUGCACUAAUAACUUGGUACGUACCGAAUAAAAAAUUGCACAACGUACCAAAUGUAAUAUUUUAUAACGUAUCAAAGUACUAAUACUUACACAAAUUAAAUUUAUACAAUUAACGUACACGAAUUAAAUUUAUAUUUAAUAUAUGUGCAUGUUAUAUCUCAUAAUUAUAUUUUAAUAGGAUAUUUGAUGUAUUUUUAGAAUUUAAACAAAAAAAUAUAUUUUGAUUUAGUUUGUUACUUUUAACUUUAGCUUCUAUUUUAUUUAGUUUGUAACUUCUAUUUGGUUUUUAAACUUAAUUUGUAUCUUAAAUCUUGAUGCAUGACUUGAUUUACUAAAUGUGUUUGAAAUGUGAAUGAUGAAGUUUGAUUAUAACUAAAUAGGUAACACGUAUAUUAGAUUACCUCAAUGAUUAAAGAUGGUGUUAAGUAACAACUUAAUACGUGUGUAUUAUAUCAUGAUUGAUAAGACAUUUUUACGGCUAAAAAAUUUUGGGUUACAUCUUAAAAAUUAAAAGAAUAACAAUAAUAUGUUUUCGGCUAAAAAAAAAAGUUAUCAAUGAAUUGGAGUAUUAAAAAAAAGGUUAAGGCCACCAAAUUGAUAGUAUCAUUACCGUACCAUGCCAACAAAAUUAAAUGUGUCAUUGUUUUUUUUUUACCGGUAGGUAUGAAACUACAUUUAUUAACAACAUCGUUGUGGAGAUUUCAACCCAAUUAUUAUUAAAUUGCACAUAUUUGCAUGUGGCUGAGUACCCAGUUGGAAUAGAGUCUUGUGCAAAAGAGGUGGAAGUGCUUUUAGAUGUCGGUGGAAAUGAUCGUCGUGUAGUUGGGAUUUGGGGGACAUCUGGAAUAGGCAAGACAGCAAUUGCAAAAGGUGUUUAUAAUGCAAUUGCUCAUAAGUUUGAAGGCAGUUGUUUUCUGGUAGAUGUUAGUGAAACAUUGACAAAGUGUGAAGGCGUAAUCCAACUACAGAAGACUCUUCUAUCUAAAAUUCUAGGUGGUGCAGAGUUGAACUUUGUCAAUGCUCAUGAAGGAACCAGUCUUAUUAAGAAUCGGUUGAGGCAAAAGAAGAUUCUCUUAAUUCUUGAUGACGUGGAUAAUUUGGAGCGGUUAAAAGACUGGGUCGAUGUCGAUUGUUUCGGUGAGGGUAGCAGAGUGGUCAUAACCACAAAAGAUAAAAGUUUGCUAGAUUUUUAUGAAGGUCAGUGGAUAUAUAAAGUCCAAAAGUUGGGAUACGACAAAGCACUUGAGCUUUUUAGUUGGAAUGCCUUCAAAAGAAAUAGACCUCCAGAUGAUUAUUUGAGCCUCGCACGACGUGCAAUAGUCUAUGCUCAAGGCCUUCCGUUGGCUCUUAAUAUUAUAGGUUCUCAUCUGCGCAAUAAAAGUAUAGAUUGUUGGCAAGCUGUAUUGAACAGUUACGAUUCUUACAAUGGAAAACCUUAUACAGAUAUUCAAAUAAUACUUCGAAAAACUUAUGAUGCCUGGGAUUGUAACUUGCAACAAGUUUUUCUAGACAUUGCAUGUUUCUUUAAGGGUGAAAAUAAAGACUACGUGUUACAAAUGUUAAGAAGUUCGACGCUCAAUGUACCUGAAGAUAUUAUUGAUGUACUUGUUGAGAAAGCCAUCAUAGCUAUCGAGUAUAAUUAGAUUGUGAUGCAUGACUUGCUAGAAAAAAUGGGUAAGCAUAUAGUUUACGAAGAAUCACCCAAUGAACCAGGCAAGCGGAGCAGGUUGUGGCAUCAUAAAGAUGUGUGCGAUGUUCUAAUUAAUUGCAAAGUAAGUAAAAUAUAUGUUGUUACAUAAUUACAUUUGAUUUAAUUGGCAUGAUUUUGAAAAGAAAAAAAAAAGAUUUUAUUGUGACUUGUUUGUUAACAUUAUUUCUCUUUCCAUCUUAGGGAACAAAGAAAAUUAGAGGCAUUGUUGUGAAUCUGCCCGAACCAGAUGAGAUACCCUUGAAUCCAAAAAGCUUCUUGGAGAUGGUAAAUCUUGAAUUUUUUAUAAACUAUAAUGCACACUUUUCAGGAUGCGUUGAUUAUCUACCCAACAGUUUGAGGUUGAUUGAAUUCGGUGGACGAUCCAAUAUUGAUCAAGGGGAUAAGUAUGUGCCAUUCAAUUUUCAUCCAAGAGAUCAUAAGUAUGUGCCAUUCAAUUUUCAUCCAAGAGAUCACAAUCAUAAGUAUGUGCCAUUCAAUUUUCGUCCAAGAGAUCUUAAGUAUGUGCUCGAUUUGCCAUCCGAUUUUCAACCAAGACAUCUUGUUAGCUUUGAUGUGUCAUACAGUGGUAUAAGACAAUUGAAGGGAUUUAAGGUACACACUUUAAAUUAUUUUGAAGCAUUAUUUAUUUAGAAAAUUGUUAUUAGUACUUUAAAAAUCUCAUUUUACACUCAAAACUUUCUAUAUUAGGAAAGAAAAUUACACUUGUGAAGAGUGUAGAAUGUGAUUUUUGAAGUGCCAAUAACACUUCCCUUUAUUUAAACAUAUAUUUUUUUCUCAAAAAAAUACCUAAGUAUUUUAUUAUAUUCUUUUUAAAGCAUGUGAACUUAUCUUUUGUUUUUGUUUUUGGUUUUAUAGAAUUUGGCAAAGCUUACAUGGAUGAAAUUAAGUAAUUGCGAAUUCUUGGAAAAAAUCCCUGACUUAUCCGGAAGCCCAAACAUAAAGUUCUUGGAUCUAGGUUGGUGUAAAAAUUUGGUCGAGGUUGAUGAUUCUGUUGGAUUCCUCGAUAAACUUGAAGUGUUGUCUCUUAUUGGGUGCUCUAAGCUUACGAGGUUUCCAACAAGACUUGGAUUGAGAUCCCUUAAAAAGCUUAAUUUUUGGUGUUGCACAAGGCUGGAGAGAUUUCCGGAAAUAGAGAAGGACAAUGAAAUCUGUGACGCAUUUGGAGAUACCAUACAGUGGCAUAAGAGAAUUGCCCUCAUCAAUUGCGUAUCUUACUGGGCUUAGGGUGUUGCUUGCACAUUAUUCUAAGUUGCAAAAUGUCCCCGACUUAUCCGGAAGCCCAAACAUAGAGUACUUGUGUCUAACAAACUGCACAAGUUUGGUCAAACUUGAUGAUUCAGUUGAGUUGCAAAGGGUGAAGUUUGAUGAAGUUUCAUCCAAGCUGACUCUUAAUCUUUCAGAAUGCAAUUUAUCAGAAAGUGAUUUCCUUGUGCCUCUUUAUUGCUGGUCCGAAUUAAGAGAACUUAAUCUGUCGAGAAACAAUUUUGUUAGCCUUUCGGAUUGUAUUAGCAAAGCUGUCAACUUGAAGACACUUUACUUGUGCGAUUGCAAGAGGCUUCGAGAAAUUCCAGUCCUUCCACCAAAACUAGAAUUUUUAAAUCUGAAUGGUUGCACAUCAUUGGAGAAAAUUCCAAAACUGCCCCUGACGCUUGAGAAGCUUAUAUUGUGUAACUGCUCUGGAUUAAGUGGUGAUGAGGUGGCAAAGUUGGAAAACAACUUGUUGAAUGAGGUUGGUCUCUCUUCUUAAUUUAUGUUCAAAUGAAAAUUAAUUUUGUUGAUACUUGAAAGAGAGAUCAGAUCACAAAUGUUUGUAAUUUGUUAAGUAUAUAUAUCUACUAUUGCAGGAAUUUGAUCCGCCCACUCGAUUGAACAUUAUUUACCCAGGCAAUGAAAUUCCAAAGUGGUUCAGCUAUACCUCUAACUAUUCCACAACCAGUCAACAUCUACCAGAAUAUGAAUCUGACAAGGAAUUUCGUUUUGAAAUUCCUCUAAAAUUACAAGUGGGGGAGACGUUAUUAGGAUUGGCUCUAUCUUUUGUUUAUGAACCACCGACUUGUAAAAAGUGGGAAAAUGAUCUUAUUACGUGUAUUAUCAUCGACGGAGAAAGAAGGUUUGAACAUUAUUUAGAGUAUUCUGCGGACAUAAAUGCAACUCAUGUGAGCCUUGCGUUAACGGCGUUAAGGGGUUUACGGGAGCAGGAGCAGCAUGGAGAUAUUUGUCAAGUUGUAUUUCGUUUCUACCAACUGUCUCCCGUUAAAAGCUGCGGCGUGCACUGCCUAUUGCGCAACCAAGACAGUGGAUCCUCAUCUUCGGAGGAUGGGGACAGUGGAUCCUCACCUUCGGAGGAUGAGGAGGAUGAGGAGCAAGAGCAAGAGCAACCGUCCGACUCAGAUGUUCUUUUUGAUAUUGAGGAGGAUGAGGAGCAGCUUCACUUGCCUCUGAGACCAACGAGCAGUCUUGGGAAGAGGCCUCGUCCACGUGGAUCCUCAGAUAUCGUCGAUGAUGCAUAUGAUCAGCAACAGCAAUGGCUUUCCUCAUCUUCGGAGCCAGCAGAUGAUCAUCCAAAACGCAGGCAGAUUGAUCCCAAUGUUCCUUUUGAUAUUGAGGAGGAUGAGGAGCAAGAGUAGCUGUCCGAUUCAGAUAUCCGCAAUUUCCCAUUUUUAUUUUUUUUUGUUUUUAUUUUUUUGGUAAACUUCAAUUUCUGAUUUAUUAGGAGUUUGGGUACGUACAUAUUUGUUUGCACCUUACUAAUCUCUAAAAUUAAGAGACUGUUUGAUGACCAUUUCUGUUUGCAAACCGAAAACCAAUUUGUUCUAUUGUCUUGCGUUUGCCUUUUUGUUUUCUUUUUAUAUAUCUAAACUACAUAUUAAUAGAACUCGUUGUCAACCAAAUUCUUAUGAAAUUAUCACUUUAACCGUCUAUUUAAAACUGAUUAUGAUAAGAAAUAUGGGUAGAAUUGUAAUUUCAAACUAUCAAAAAAAAAUCCUUCCAAAACUUCAUCUAUAUGUGAUUCUAACAAAUCUCUAAUUAAAAAAAUUAAAGCAGCUCUCUUCCCCAAUCCCACAUUCUCUCUCUGUCUCUCUCCUUCUACUUUAAAAACAAAAAUAAAAAAAAAUUUAUGCACAUUUUGCAUGUGGCCAUAUGCUAAUAUACGAUAAAAAAGGGUGUGAUGUCUACACACUCAUUUUUACUUUUUACACAUCUUCUAAUUUUCGACCGUCGGAUCGGAUGAAUUAAAGAAUAUCAAAUGACAGAAAUCAACAAGAGCGUAUGAAAAGUAAAAAAUGGUGUAUGGAUUGCACACCCCUAAAAAAAUUAGUAACAAUUAAAACUCAAUUAGUAACAACUAGCGACUGUAACAAAAAUCUACUAAUCACGACUUCAAAUCAAAGACUAAUAUCUUCCAUUCUAUCACUUACACUUGCUUUUCUCUUACCUAAAAUCUAAAAAUAUCAUCAAUAAAAAACGAAAAUAUCAUAAAGCUAAUCAAAUCAAUGGAAAGUCGUUUCUACAAGAUAAAGUCAUCUACAAAUCAACUCAAAGUCGAUAUCAAAAGAAAUCUACCGAGCUAAGCUGGUUUGUACAUUAUUAUGAAAAAGCAUGAACAACGGACUUCCAAACAACCAUCUAGGAACUUCCAGUUCAGUCCUCAAAUGCCAGCAAUGGAGAAAAGCUUCUCCAACAUUUGCUCUUCUCAGUAAUAUAAUAUUAGUUUUCAAUCUGCAGAAACAAAGAAUUCAUCUGUAGGUGGCUAGUUAUUACAAAAACAGAAACCACAUUUGUAUCCUAAAGAUCUCGGUGACUGCAAGUGAGUAAGCCGCCAUCAUACUCUAUGAGUAUGUAUGACCGCAGUGCUCAAGCAACACCCAUACGAUCCACAACUCUUCUACGUGAACUAACUUGAAAAAUGUUACCAUGAGAAUCAGAAGAGAAACUCCGCCUAUGUAAGUUUAUCUUACAUUGCCGGUCCCAAGCCCGGAUAAAGGAGGAGGGGGAGGGCGUCAGGGAGUCGACAGCCGGCACUCCAUGAUCACGUCGAAUCCUUAUGAAAAUGAAUCCAGAACGAAAUCGCGCUAAAGCUAGGGUGUCACCCGUAAGUGGCGCGCUGUGUGGCCCGAGCACAGUGAUAAGUGAGCAAGGGUCGCUGUAUCUCCAUCGGCACCCGGAUGCAGUGUUAAAUGAGCAAGGGGGCCAUAGAAACUUCUUUUCGAACGACUCCACUCAAAGUUGUUUGGGAGCAUAUGCUCCUAUCAACUUUACACGGGACACACAAAAGAAGUACUUUGAUCCUAUUAGACGGGGGAGAGUGAAGAAGCUAGGACAGAAGGGUUGAGUUCAAGAGAGCAAAAUGCGUUUAGGAACGUGGAAUAUAGGAACCUUAACGGGAAAAUCUAUGGAAGUAGUGGAAGUUAUGGUGAGGAGAAGGAUAAAUAUUAUGUGCCUACAAGAAACUAAGUGGGUUGGUCGUAAGGCAAAUGAUCUAGAAAACUCAGGGUUUAAACUUUGGUAUUCGGGCACAAAAUAGAACGAGAAACGGUGUUGGCAUCAUCAUCGUGGACAAGACCUUGACACAAGAUGUUGUAGAUGUCAAGAGGGUAGGAGAUAGAUAGAAUCAUGGCAAUCAAGAUUGUAAUAGGACAAGAACUUAUCAAUGUGAUUAGUGCGUACGCACCUCAAGUAGGGUUGGAUACAAGUUCGAAGGAGAAAUUUUGGGAAGACCUUGGAGACUUGGUGCAAGGAAUUGCUCAGAUGGAGAAGUUAUUUAUAGGAGGAGAUUUAAAUGGACAUGUGGGCAGGGAGACAGGCAACUAUGGAGGUUUUCAUGGUGGCCAUGGUUUUGGGGAGAGAAACAAGGAUGGGGAAGCUAUCUUGGAUUUUGCAAUGGCAUAUGAUCUCUUCUUAGCCAACACCUUCUUUAAGAAGAGAGAAGAAGAACAUGUGAUCACCUACAAGAGUGGGUCGUCAAAAAACACAAAUAGAUUUUCUUCUAAUGAGGAAAGGGGAUCGUAUAACUUGUAAGGAUUGCAAAGUUAUACCAGGAGAGAGCGUGGCUAAUCAACAUCGCUUGUUGGUGAUGGAUGUACAUAUCAAAAGAGUGAGACAAAAGAACAAGACUUGGAAGUGCCCAAGGACUAGAUGGUGGAAUCUAAAAGAAGAAAAACAAGCCAUUUUCAAAGAGAAGGUAAUCACCCAAUGUGUGUGGGAUAGAGAGGGAGAAGCUAGCCAAAUGUGGGAUUCCAUGGCUAGUUGUAUCCGAAAAGUAGCAAAAGAGGUAUUAGGAGAGUCCAAGGGCUUUGCCCCACACCAAAAGGAAUCUUGGUGGUGGAAUGAGGAGGUACAAACAAAGGUGAAGGCUAAGAAGGAAUGUUGUAAAGCCUUAUACAAGGAGAGGACCGAUGAAAAUGGUGAAAGGUAUAGAAAAGCGAAGCAAGAGGCGAAGAAAGCUGUCAGAGAAGCUAAGUUAGCGGCUUACGACGAUAUGUAUAAACGACUAGAUACCAAAGAAGGAGAGUUGGAUAUCUAUAAACUAGCUAGAGCAAGGGAAAAGAAGACAAGGGACCUAAACCAAGUGAGGUGCAUCAAGGAUGAGGAUGGAAAGGUUCUUGCUACAGAGAACGCGGUUAAAGACAGAUGGAGAGGUUAUUUUCAUAAUCUUUUCAAUGAAGGACAUGAAAUGGAGUGCUUCUUUAGGGGAGUUGAGUAACUCAGAAGAGUGUAGAAACUACUCUUUUUAUCGUCGAAUCCGGAAGGAAGAAGUGGUUGUAGCUUUGAAGAAGAUGAAGCAUAGAAAAGCAAUAGGCCCAGACGAUAUACCAAUCGAAGUGUGGAAAGUUUUGGGAGAGACAGGUAUAACAUGGCUCACUGACCUUUUCAAUAGGAUUUUGAAAACGAAGAAGAUGCCAAAUGAGUGGCGAACGAGCACUUUGGUGCCUAUCUACAAGAAUAAGGGCGACGUACAAAAUUGCAUGAACUAUAGGGGUAUUAAGCUAAUGAGUCAUACAAUGAAGCUCUGGGAGAGAGUCAUUGAGCAUAGAUUGAGGCAAGAGACACGGGUUUCGGACAACCAAUUCGGGUUCAUGCCAGGGCGCUCAACCAUGGAGGCAAUCUAUCUCUUACGAAGAUUGAUGGAAAGAUAUAGAGAUGGGAAAAAGGAUUUACACAUGGUCUUUAUAGAUUUGGAAAAAGCGUAUGAUAGGGUCCCAAGAGACAUUCUUUGGAGGAUUUUAGAGAAGAAAGGAGUACGAGUAGCAUAUAUCCAAGCUAUAAAGGAUAUGUAUGAAGGAGCAAAGACUGCCGUAAGAACUCAUGAAGGACAAACCGAAAGCUUUCCCAUAACUGUAGGAUUACAUCAAGGCUCAUCCUUAAGUCCUUACCUUUUUGCGUUGGUAAUGGAUGAGUUAACAGGACAUAUUCAAGAUGAUAUUCCUUGGUGUAUGCUUUUCGCAGACGAUAUAGUGUUGAUAGAUGAAACUCAGGAAGGGGUAAAUGCAAAGCUUAACCUUUGGAGAGAAGUGUUGGAAUCUAAAGGUCUUCGCCUAAGCCGAUCAAAGACAGAAUAUAUGGAGUGCAAGUUCAGUGCAAAUGGAGGCCAAAACGAGUUAGGGGUGAGGAUCGGAGAUCAAGAAAUACCAAAGAGCGACCGUUUUCGUUACCUAGGAUCUAUCUUGCAAAAGAACGGAGAAUUAGAUGGAGAUCUCAACCAUAGAAUACAAGCUGGAUGGAUGAAGUGGAAGAGUGCAUCCGGCGUGUUGUGUGUGACCGCCGUAUGCCACUGAAGCUCAAGGGAAAAUUUUAUAGGACGGCAAUAAGGCCGGCGAUGCUGUAUGGCACAGAAUGUUGGGCGGUGAAACAUCAACACGUACACAAAAUGGGUGUAGCGGAGAUGAGGAUGCUUCGUUGGAUGUGUGGGCACACGAGAAAGGAUAAGAUUAGGAAUGAGGAUAUCCGGGGUAAAGUAGGAGUAGCCGAAAUUGAAGGAAAGAUGAGAGAAAAUCGGUUACGGUUACGGUGGUUUGGACAUGUGCAAAGAAGGCCUACUGACGCUCCGAUUAGAAGAUGCGACUAUGGGACAGAGGUUCAGGGCCGAAGGGGUAGAGGAAGACCUAGGAAAACUUUGGAAGAGACUCUAAGAAAAGACUUAGAGUACUUGGAUCUAACGAAGGACAUGACACAGGAUCGAGCACAAUGGCGUUCUAAGAUUCAUAUAGCCGAUCCCACUCAGUGACUUGGAUUUUCCAAGUCUCCAACCGAGAAGUUUUCCUCACUCGGGAAAUUAAGGGAACACUACCCCAACCUACAUGCUCCACUCAGAAAGCUUCAACAUACAAGCUUCAACAAAAGAAAAUUCAAAGAACUUAGCGAAGAAGGCUUUGGUGUAUUUAACACAAUACGUUGAAAUGAAGGAAAGCUUAUUUAUUGAUAUCCCCGAUAAGCUACAAAUAUGUACAUAUACAUGAGUCAAAAUAAACACACAAGAGGGAGCCUUCACAAAGGUUGCUUAGGAGAAGUCUCAGCAGUCGGUAGAGCCCCAGAAAGAGAAGGCACCGGAGGGGGAUCAUUCGGAGCCUCAGUACUGGACAGAACCCUAGAAGGAGGAGGCAUCAGAGGUUGAUCAUUUGGAGCUUCAUUACGCGGUACAGCAGCCCAGAAGACGAAGGCAAUAAAUGCCUUUGGAACAAACCCACAAAUCUCUGAUGAUCAAGUAAAACCUGACCAUCAGUUUCCUUCAUCUGGUCAAGCUUCCUCUUCAUGUUUGUAGCAUAGUCAUGUGCGAGCCGGUGCAACUGUUUAUUUCUCAUGCUUGAGCCCUCUAAUCUCCUGUUUGAGACUCAUCACUUCAGCCGCCAAUGAUUCAACUUGGCGGGUUCGAGCAAAUAGGCGUUGGGCCAUAUUAGACACAGAACCUGCACACUGAACACUGAGAGCCAGCGAAUCCUUAACAGCUAACUCAUCAGACCGUUUGGAAAGUAGUCUGUUAUCUUUGGGAGUGAGAAGGUUCCUGGCCACCACCGCAGCGGUCAUAUCAUUCUUCAUCACGGAAUCCCCAACGGUAAGAGGACCAGUAGGGGAGACGAAGGAUGGGCGCCAUAUGUUGUCUGGAGAAGGCGGGGCUGCCUCUUCAACAAGGUUCAAGUCAAAACGACGGUCGGAGGGGCCAGACAUUUUCAAAGGUGUUGAAGAGAGAAGAGGUCGGACAAAUCAAGAUCUUAGAAGUGCAAGAAUGGAGCUUCUACUAGUGGAGAUUCAAGUGUGCUGUAGAACUUAAUGCCAGCCCCUAUAAAAAUCUGCACUCGACGGAGCUUCAGAAAUCGAAGAGGCGCCUGCUCAGAAAUCGAAGAGACGUUUGCUUUCUCAAAAGCUGGGCUGCUUAGAGACCACGAAGGUUGAUAUCAGAAAUCGAAAAGGCGUUUGCUUUCUCAAAAGAUGGGCUGCUCAAAGACCACGAAGGCCGAUCUCAGAAAUCGAAAAGGCGCUCGCUUUCUCAAAAGCUGGGCUCCUCAGAGACCACGAGGGCCGAUCUCAGAAAUCGAAGAGGCACCACCUACUUUUUCAGCCUUGUCAGCACCUGUCACACGCACACUCAGCUUUGCGGAAAUUAUGGGCAUUCUGUCGAAGACUUCUGGUGAAGUAGAAAACACAUGAAUCUUACUGUUCAAUCACCCACUUCCCACACGCAACAAUAGCUCAUGGGUACCACAGAUAACUUUGCCAAAGUUCUCUGCCAAAGUUGGAAAUGAACAGUACCACUGCUGGAUAAUUGGAAAAACCCUAUGUGUCAACCUCUAUGCUUCGUGGCAAGGUAGACUAGCAAACAUGCCCAACCUUUACUCACAUUUGAGAAAACACUCCCAAUAAGAUUACUUGCUCCAAAAUCGAAGAGGCACCGUCCUCCGAAUCUCAAGAGCCAGACUCCCAACAUGACUACUUUCUCAAAAAUCGAAGAGAGGGUAAAGGAACAGUACCAUUGCUGGAUAAUUGGAAAGUCCCUGUGUGUCAACCUCUGUGCUUCGUGGCAAGGUAGACUAGCAAACAUGCCCAACCUUUACUCACAUUUCGAGAAAACACUCCCAACAAGAUUGCUUGCUCCAAAAUCGAAGAGGCACCGCCCUCCGAAUCUCGAGAGCCAGACUCCCAACAUGAUUACUUUCUCAAAAAUCGAAGAGACACCGCUCCCCGAAUCUCGAGAGCCAGACCCCCAGCAUGAUUGCUUUCUCAAAAAUCGAAGAGGCAUCGUUCUCCGAAUCAAUCGAAGAGGCGCUCGCUUUCUCAAAAGCUGGGCUGCCCAGAGACCACGAGGGCCGAUCUCAGAAAUCGAAGAGGCACUUACUUUUCUAGCCUUGUCAGCACCUAUCACACGCACACUCAGCUUUGCGGAAAUUAUGGGCAUUCUAUCGAAGACUUCUGGUGAAGUAGAAAGCACAUGAAUCUUACUGUUCAAUCACCCACUUCCCACAUGCAACAAUAGCUCAUGGGUACCACAAAUAACUUUGCCAAAGUUGAGCACGUGAAGCUUGCAGCUCCCACUACAUCGCUCUGACCAAGAAAGGUAAAAGAAUAGCAAAGAAACAGCACUAACAAAGUUUAGACACAUAAAUUUUGAAGGUCUAGCUACCAUAUUAUUACCCACAAGGGUAAAGGAACAGUACCACUGCUGGAUAAUUGGAAAGUCCCUGUGUGUCAACCUCUGUGCUUCGUGGCAAGGUAGACUAGCAAACAUGCCCAACCUUUACUCACAUUCGAGAAAACACUCCCAACAAGAUUGGUUGCUCCAAAAUCGAAAAGGCACCGUCCUCCGAAUCUCGAGAGCCAGACUCCCAACAUGACUACUUUCUUAAAAUCGAAGAGACUGUAAAGGAACAGUACCAUUGCUGGAUAAUUGGAAAGUCCCUGUGUGUCAACCUCUGUGCUUCGUGGUAAGGUAGACUAGCAAACAUGCCCAACCUUUACUCACAUUCGAGAAAAAACUUUUGCUUGCUCCAAAAUCGAAGAGGCACCGCCCUCCGAAUCUCGAGAGCCAGACUCCCAACAUGAUUACUUUCUCAAAAAUCGAAGAGACACUGCUCUCCGAAUCUCGAGAGCCAGACCCCCAUCAUGAUUGCUUUCUCAAAAAUCGAAGAGGCAUCGUUCUCCGAAUCUCGAGAGCCAGAUAUCACAGACCACUUUUUCAAAGUGCUCUGACAGAGUUAAAACAUGUGAAGCUGGCAGCUCCCACUACCGUGCUAAGACCAAGCAGGGUAAAGGAAUAGCAUUACUACUUGUUGUUAGGGAGACUCCUAUAUAUGUCGAUCUCCAUCCCCAACGGACAGGCAGACCUGCAAAAAUGCUCAACCCUUCCUCAUAUCUAACAGGGCACUCCCAACGAAGCCUUUCGAAAUAUUCAGCUUUCUUUCCCCCCGAUAAUACCUCUGCAAACAAGCUAUACUAGAGCAAGAAUAUCUCAUAUCAUCAGGGUUAAAAGCAAGAGUAUCCCAUAUCAUGCUUUUUCCCUGUCUUUUCCUUUGGCCUUGUUCUUACCUGCAAGACAAGGAGAAAGAGAGCAAUCAGUCAGCACUUGGAAUCAAACUUCCAGCCAGGAACUGACUGCCUGGAACCCCUUAGCUGAUUACUUACCUGGCAUUGCUCUCGAGUACUCAUCUUCAACAUCUAAUGCUUCCAGGGAAGAUAUCGCAUCUGCUUGAGGAACAGAUAGGGCAAGUGCGAAUGAUACAAGGAAGCAUGUGGAGACAAGCGUAACAGCACACGUGCCGAUACAUCCAUUACUCUGUCAAAAGCAAAAGUAUCCCAUAUCAACAGGGUCGAACGUACUCUAGAUUUGAUGGACUUGUUUUGACCCUCAAAUUCUUCAGUCGGCCUUAUACUCUGGAGGACACCAGAAAACCCUCCAGCUCAGUUCAAGAAUAAGCCUGUGGAAAGUUACUUCUUCAAAAGCAAAAGUAUCCCAUAUCAUCUCUUCUCAUUUUUCUUCUCUUUAUCCUUCAUGCUGCUGCAAGAUGGGGAGAAGGUGAACACUCAGCCGCAGCUCUGAUUGCUUACCUUGUCUGUCACCUCUUUCAGCAGAUCCCCUAGCUCGGCGACUUUGGGGACUCAUACUACAUGGUUUGUAUCGCACUUGACCAAGCCUGAAACUACAAGUAAGCUUCAAGUGAAAUUGAUACAUUACCUGUGCAUCUCCACCAGUUAAAGAUACCACCCCUGGAUGGAGGAAGAGUACUUCCAGAGAAGAUGCCACAUCUACCUAUGAGACAGAUAAGGCAAGUCAAGACGAUACCACACUCCGAUACUUAGAAGUUUCGUGAUUACGAGAUCAUUCUCCCACAAUAUUUCCUAAUGUCAUUUGUACUAAAUCAUUCACUUGUACUCACUAAAGGAGAGCUUGAACCUAUGUACUUGUGUAAACCCUUCACAAUUAAUGAAAACUCCUCUACUCCGUGGACGUAGCCAAUCUGGGUGAACCACGUACAUCUUGUGUUUGCUUUUCUAUCUCUAUCCAUUUAUAUACUUAUCCACACUAAUGACCGGAGCAAUCUAGCGAAGAUCACAAAAAGCGACCGUUUUCGCUACCUAGGACCUAUCUUGUAAGAGAACGGAGAAUUAGAUGGAGAUCUCAACCAUAGAAUACGAGCUGGAUGGAUGAAGUGUAAGAGUGCAUCCGGCGUGUUGUGUGACCGUCGUAGGCCACUGAAGCUCAAGGGAAAAUUUUAUAAGACGGUAAUAAGGCCAGCGAUGUUGUAUGACACAAAAUGUUGGGCGGUGAAGCAUCAACACGUACACAAAAUGGGUGUAGCGGAGAUGAGGAUGCUUCGUGGGAUGUGUGGGCACACGAGAAAGGAUAAGAUUGGGAAUGAGGAUAUCCGAGGUAAAGUAGGAGUAGCCGAAAUUGAAGGAAAUAUGAGAGAAAAUCGGUUCCGGUGAUUUGGACAUGUGCAAAGAAGGCCUACUGACGCUCCGGUUCGAAGACGUGACUACGGGACAGAGGUUCAGGGCCGAAGGGGUAGAGGAAGACCUAGGAAAACUUUGGAAGAGACUCUAAGAAAAGACUUAAGAGUACUUGGAUCUAACGAAUGACAUGACACAAAACCGAGCGCAAUGGCGUUCUAGGAUUCAUAUAGCCGACCCCACUUAGUGGGAAAAGGCUUUGUUGUUGUUGUUGUUGUUGUUGUUGAGAAUCAGAAGAGAACAUCUGCACUAGUAGUUAACAUAUACAACCUUUGCAUACCUCAGUUUACUUGUAACUUUGAACUGACAUCGAAGGAUAAUGUUGAAUCAAUAGAAUCAUUGCCUCCUCAGCAAUCUGUUGAUAAAUGAGAACAAAAAUGAAUAGGAUUAUACAUUGAAGGGUUAAUAUUCUAGAAAUCACAAAAAUAUGGAAACCACAACAGUCGAGCAUCCAAAAGAAAGGCAUGAUGCGUACCUUUUCAGUUAAAUCCAGGCCUUUUUCAGAUACGUGAAUGAAAGAAGUAAUAUGAAUUCAACAUUAAUUACCUAAAAACUUGGUUUUAUUCGGAUAUAUAAACCUACGAGGAGAAAUGAGAUUAUAAGGUACAAAAUUUCUACAAGGUUAUCAAAGAACUACAUCAUUUGGAUGAACAUGUAAAGCAACUACUCCUCCUCUGUUCCUGUCUUUAUUAAUCAAGUAUCCACGCAGAGACGGUAGACUUAUAGGAUUACUAUUUAAUCACGAGUCGGGGUUCACAAUAAUCUAAAGUGAGAAAACUCCUGCCCAUAUACAUUAAAAUCAAUCAUUCACUUUCUAAUUUAUAAGUAACAAGAAAAGCAUCUCUCUCUUAAAUUCCCUCUCUAUCUUCACCAGUUCUUGAUUUUGUGAACAAUUGAGGACCCAAACUCCAUCCCAGUAAAUCUAACCAAAUUAAAUUCGUUAGGGUAACUGCGGAAUGAGGUUUUCAUCGGCCAGGAGAAAGAAUUAAUAAAACGAACUAAAACGAGGCGAUUUGUGAGUUUCUAGGGUUCUAUAUGAUGCGAAACUUAAAAUGAAACUUAGAGAUAGAGAAUUUAGAUUUGUGACUUACGUAUUAACAACCAGAAAUCGCAGCCUCAAAUUAUGAAAUCUUAGCCUCCAAUAUUCAAAAUCGCAGUCUCAAACCUCUGAACUCGAAGCUCCAAUAUUCGAAAUCGCAGCCUCAAAUCUCUUAAAUCAUAGAAAUACAAAUUAUUCAUGAAAGCAAUCCAAUCAGUUCUUCGAAGACGAAAUAAAAAACAAAUUCAGAAAAAUGAACCAAAAAAAAAAACGAAUCAAAACAAUUCAAUCCAAUCAUAAGAAACGAUUCAAAAUUACUUCGGAUUUCAAAAGACCAAAACCCUAAAAGAGUCCUCUGCAGAUCGAAUUCGGACUGGACUAGUGGGAAACGAGUCGAAAUUUUAUUGAAAGUAAAAUAUCUCUAAAAUCGUAGCUUCUAACCUCUAGCUCAUAUCAAAAUCGACGGAAAAGCCAUGGGAGAGAGCUCGACAAGUUGGAGGGAGAGAGCUCUCGACGAGCUGGAGAAUUUGUUGUUGGAAAAUAUAGGGAAGGUAGAGAAGUUCCAGAGAAAGGGAAACAAGUUUAAAAAUUUAGAAAUAUGUUGGCUUAAUGUGGGUGGGUGAAAAAUUUCAAAAUUACAUCACUGUCAUGAUUUUAUUUUGUGAUAAAAGAUUUGUUAUUUUAUUUCCUUUCUAGAGAGAGAGAUUUUGUUAACAUGUAAUUUAGAUACUAUAUAUAUUCUGAGAGAGAAAUUAAACUUAUAUACUUGACAUGUCAUGUCAUCAUUAUUUUUUAAUUGCUUUUCCGUUUACAAUUAUUUUCUAUAUUCUUAUUUAUUUGUUUUACUUUUAUGCCCUUUUUUCUUCUUGGUCCAUUUCGGUCUCUCUUCCUUCCCCUUUCUAACCAUGUCUCUCUUCGUACUUCUUUGUAUUUUUCUUUCUCCUCUGUUCGUACUUCUCUCUAUUCUUCCUCCUACAUCAUUAUCUCUAGUAGUAUUGAAAAUUUUGAAACUGAUCUUUUCAAAGUGCAGAAAUUUUGAAACUGAUAUUGCAGAAAUUUUGAAACUGACCUUACAGAAGUGCAAAGAAAAUUUGAAAGUAAUCUGGCAGAAGUGCAUGAAUUGUGAAACUAAUCGUUCAGAAAUGCAUAAAUUGAUUGUUACGGAUCUAAAAUUAGGUUGAAGUUUUUAUAGAUAGUGUCACUUUAUAGUUUUGGCCUGGUUAACUAGCAAGUCUAUUGAGGCCAUGGUUGGAAUUUUAAAAUUUUGGUUUGCUUGUUUUUGGGCUAGGUUUGUUGAGGUUUGAGCUUUUGUCUCUUCUUGAAAUGAUUCAAAACUAGUGAAGUUCUAUGAAAUAUAUUUUGUGUUGUUUUGGUGUACAAAGAUUUGGUGACCAUUGUGUGUUGCAAAUUUUGAAGUAUGGGGCUAAUGCUGAAGCUUCAUCAUGUUUAUGUGUUUAUGAACUUAGUAGGAUUGUGAAUUUGUUAUUAUCUUUCUCUAAGGGUUAGAGAAGGCCUCAUUUCGGCGAUCAAUCCCUCAACCUCUCGCCAGUUGGCCCUAUUGUUAAGGAUGCAAAGGCAUUGCUAGACCAGAUCACUAGAACUGUCAUCACCCAUAUAUGAGUAGAAAAGUAUACCGGAAAAACAUAGCUUUAUUGAAUGAAUUCAGAAACAAAACAAAGAGGUCUUUAUAUAGAGAAAGACCAAAGCAAACCCUAGACUAAAACCCUAAGCCAAAUCCUAAACAAACUCAAAUACUUAAUGGGCAAGUAACUAAUCCUUGGCCCGCAAGAUAACAACCUAAAUUCCAAACUAAAUUCCAACACCCCCCGUCAAACUCAUGGCGGAACACAGUCAUGAGUUUGCAAGGUAGAUGUGGAUACAAGACUCCAAAUUCUAGUGCCAAUGCCGAUGCGAAAAACACAACCAUGCUAAUGCCGAUGCCAACUUCAAAACACAACCAUGUCAAUGCCGAUGCCAACUUCAAACUACCACGUCCAAUCAUCCUUCCUAGAUUCAGAUUUUUGAAUCAGUUCCAAUAUGCAAAACAGUAGAUGCUCCUCCUUUAUGUGGAAGUUCAUGUUGCUGAGACAACUUAGGACAUUGGGACUUCCAAUGCCCUUUCCCUUUAAAAUAAGAACACUCAUCCAUAGCAACCCUACGAGACCUUGCUGCAGCAAAUGCUGAAGUAUUUGACGACGAUGAAGAGAGCCUAUGCGACUGCACACGAACCUCUUCUGCUUGUAACUCAUUAAGAACAGAAUCAACAGAUGGAAAAGGAGUUCGAUGAAGGAUGGAGCUACGGAGCGUCUCGAACUCAUCCCGAAGAGGCAUUAGAAACUGAACAAGACGUUGUUCUUCUCUAUAUUUACAAUAGAGCUUGACAAUGCCGAGUUCUUCAGGCUCAGUCAAUGCAAGUUGAUUCCAAAGAUUGGUCAGUUCAUUGUAAAACACUUGAAUACUCUUAUCACCUUGCUGGAUUGUACGAAUCUCCAUUUCCAAUUGAUACCUCUUAGCAAAAUUGGCCUUGGUAUACAACUUUGCCAAGUGAUCCCAAACUUCCUUAGAUGUUGAGAACUUAGCCAAUUGCAUUCCAAUAGCCAAAUCAACAGAAUUAUUAAUCCAAGUAAUAAUCUUUGAAUUAUUCAUCUCCCAUGCAGCAAACAAUUCAACAUAUUUUUCAUCCUUGGGGUUAUUCGGAAUGGAAACCAUUCCAGAAACAUAGCCCCACAGUCCUUUUCCAAUCAAAAAAUUCUUCAUGACAUACGCCCAAUACACAUAAUUAUUUCCAUUCAAUUUCACACCAAUAGCUUGUAAGGAAUCGUCCUUUGCAGAUGCCAUGACAAUACUGAGGAACAAGAAACACGAUACCUGGUGAAGAUGUAGAUCAAAGGUGCAGAUGCGACUGAUGCAAACUGAUGCAGAUGCAAAGAUGCAGAUUGAUGCAGACUGAAGCGGUGCGGCAGAUGGUGGGUGCGGUGUGGCGGUGGUCCAGUUGGCUGCGAUAAUUGCAGCGAUCUGAGCAGAUGCAAAUUCAAGUCGGCGCAACAGGUUGUAGUCGGACGUGUCCAGUGAUGCAGGGUGAUCCGGUGCUAGUGAUGCGGUCCAGAUGCAGAUGCAAAUAUCAACGGACUGAUGCAGAUGCAGACUGAUGCAACAAUCAAAGUACGAGCGACUGAUGCGGAAUCAAAGUGGCUGUGUUGUUGGGCUAAUUCUGGCAGACAGCAUGGUGGUGGUUCCCGAGAUACCGACCUUGCUCUUGAUACCAAGUAGAAAAGUAUACCGGAAAAACAUAGCUUUAUUGAAUGAAUUCAGAAACAAAACAAAGAGGUCUUUAUAUAGAGAAAGACCAAAGCAAACCCUAGACUAAAACCCUAAGCCAAAUCCUAAACAAACUCAAAUACUUAAUGGGCAAGUAACUAAUCCUUGGCCCGCAAGAUAACAACCUAAAUUCCAAACUAAAUUCCAACAAUAUGUCGUCAAGUGAAUGAAGCAGCGCACCAUCUAGCCCGCUCAAACUUCUUUAUAAUGGUUUUUGUUCUUGGUCUGAAGAACCUCCUGAUCUUUCUUUUGUGUACAUCUCUUCGACCAUUUGGUCUUUCAAUGAAACACUGCUGGUUUUCAAAAAAUAAAUAAAUAAAAUUCGGUAAUUGUUGAAGAUUGGAGGUCGCAUUGAGCGUUUCUCACCCUUGACUUUGUCACAUUGAUAUCGCAAUCGCAUACAUUAUCUGACAUGCACGCAGUAUAUAUCAUUGUUGUCGGUGGAAAUAUAGAGGAAACCUUGGCUGUAGCUGUGAAAUCUACUGAAGAAUUAACAAAACAGAAGAAACCUUUAAUAAGAAAGCGGCGAGUGGUUGUGAGUCGUGACAGGAACGAGUGUGGUGACCCUACUCGGUCAUGAUUCGGAUGUUUUUGGCGAGCAUGGUUUAGAGUUUGUAAUCCUCCAAAUGUCAUUUUUGGUGGAGAUGCACGAAAACUAGUUUCUCUGAUUUCAGAACUGGACUUGUUUAUGUUCUUUAUUUGUUAAUUUAAGACAGUGUAUCAGUACCUCUCAGUCUCUCCUGUAGUAAAACAUCUUUGUAAACACAAAAGAUUCUUUUCACAGAAAUUACCAGAUAAUCUCACAAUGAUCCACAAAAUCUGAUUUUGGGACAAGAUCUGACGUGUUUUUCAUCACUUCAGUCAUGUUUGAUAAAUCCAUUUUGUGUUUUGAUAUUGAACUGGUCUUUUAUGAUGCAAUUGAAGCUUUACGGUUUUCCUAUAAGAAGGUGAACCCUUUCUGUGUACCUUUCACAACCACAAAUAUGGAUUUUGCCAUGCUCGCAAUGGAUCUUGUGAGAUUAUAAUAUAUAUAUAUAUAUAUAUAUAUAUAUAUAUAUAUAUAUAUAUAUAUUCGAUGCAAUACUCUUACAAUUCGUGAUGGCUGCUGAUUUUGUACUUCUCCUUUUAACUGAUAUUUACUCUUACACUUGCAGGGUUGGAUGGUCCCAAACUAUUCAACCUCUACUGCUUGUGCUAUAAGCAGCUUCUGUACUUUGAAUUCGGCAAAUCAUAUCAUUAAAGCCAAUGCAAUAAGUAUUCCUACAACGUGACGUAAUUUAGUGGUAGUUUAGAUGCAAAAAAAAGUCGUACCCAGUGCACAAGGCUCCGCUUUACGCAGGGUCUGGUAGUUUAGAUGCAAAAUUGAAAAUAAUGAUAUACUAAUGAACGAUCGAUCUUUAAGUAUAUUAUAAUAACUGAUAUACAAUUUUCUUUGAAAUCUGACGCAGGACCUUAUGCUCUUGGUAUUGCUCCCAUUCUUUGCAAAUGUUAUUUCUUAGUUCUACUCAAGUUGCACGUACAAUAAUCUUGUUCUUAUGCAAUUACUGGAGGAUUGGGAGGCUUUGUGGCAUGCAGAGCACUGUCACAAAGAAACAAUGAUCCGACCAAAGCAUCACGCCCUUGGGAUAGUGUAAUGCGACCAAUAACUAUGCUAGAUUCAUUUAUUCUUUGACUUCCACCGUGAUUGGUUAUAUGAUGAAACUUCUGUAAAUAUUGUUAAGAACAAGAAUGGUAAAAAUAAUCGAAGGGCAUGUCAUAUAUUGGUUGUCUCAAAUGUAAAUUUGUGUUGGAAUCUAGUCAGCUUUUAUGAAAUGAUGUGUCGUAGUUUAUAACUAAACCUAGUCAUGUCUACUGAGCUUGAGAGUUGAGUUUCUUAAUUUUAGAAACGUUUAACAAGUGCAAAGUUAUUGCAUUGCGAAAGAAUGAGUUUGAAACGUUUAACAGGUGCUGUUUUUAACGAAAUCUUGUUUUUGGUUUUUGGACAGAACCGUGAUGGCUUUGUUAUGGCGGAAGGAGCUGGCGUUUUGCCUCUAGAAGAGUUAGAACAUGCUAAGGUAUUUUCUAAAUCUAUGACCUUGGCAAUGGCACUUGGGUGUCUGUCUGGAUAUCCUUUUUUUCUUUCUGUGUAGGAUCACAUCGUCCGAACGUUGUAGGUGCAAAGUCCGUAGGGACAUUCUGUAUCCUGUGAUUCCCUCAAGCUCUAUGGUCUGACAAACACAUUUUCUAAUCAUUCAUCUCUAUCUUACUAUGCAAUAUGGUGUUUUUUUAAUAAUGUCCUUGGAAACAGGGGCCGGGGUUAUUCUCUGCAUUGAAAAGCCUGGUUGGGGUGGGCAACUCCUCUUUAUUUAACCUUUUUAUUUUGGCAUAAAAUUGAAAGAAAACUAACGAAAAGGGUUUGAAAACUUUGAGUUUUAAUGAUAAGGACAAAAUAAAGGAUAAAAUGAAUAGUAAUAGGAUUGACUUUUUAGUGUAAAAAUGUGAUUUUUCGUUAAAGUGAACAGUACCGGGUGUUUUUCGUUAAAGUUCCCUAAAAUUUACUUUUUAUUAAUUGAUUUAUUUUAUAAUUUUAUUUAUUUUAUCUAAAUGGUCUUUUACAUCCGUAAAAUAUGACUCUACAUUUAUCACGUCAUCACUUAACAAUCAAUCCAACAGAUUAAUUAACAGAUGUCUGACAUUGUCACAAAUUCAUAAGUUGAGACAUGAUAUUGCAAUGUAUCAAAUUUUAAGUAUGAGAUUGUGAUGCGAUCUAUAAUUGAGGUAGUUUUAUGUAACUUAUCAUAAAUUGGUAAUGACUACUAUUUCUUCACACCUUUAUGCUAAAUUCAAAUAUAUAUGCAUCAAGAGUAUGGUCAAUCGUGAAUGAUCCAAGCUAAAACGUUUCUUCAAAAGAGAUCAGGCGGCUGAAGAAGUUGGUUGCAUAUUGGAAAGAACAAGCAGGCAAGAAAGGAAACGAUGAAGAUUUGGAAGAAAUUCAGGAUGAGCGACCGGUGAAAGAUAGAGGAGAUGGCCGCCAUUCCAUCUAACGUUUCGCAGAAACUAGGAGGAUGUAAGUUGUAUGGUUUAGGAGGAUGUAAGUUGUAUGGUAAUUUUAUUUGUACAUGGAGUUCGAAAUUUCGUCCUCGUCUUUCAUACUUGUUUUCUUCAUAUUUUUGCUUCAAAGAAAUACAGUCACUCAGAUUUUAUCCCAGAUAACACAAGAUUUUAUCCCAGAUAACACAAAUUUUCAUAAGGAUUCGACGUGAUCAUGGAGUGCCGGCUGUCGACUACCUGACGCCCUCCCCCUCCUCCUUUAUCCGGGCUUGGGACCGGCAAUGUAAGAUAAACUUACAUAGGCGGAGUUCCAGAUAACACAAAUGAAUGAAAAAAAAAAAUAUGACAGUGCCAGGCUGCCAGCUCUUGGAGGCAAAUUUCCUUGCGCUAGCGAUGCCACCGCCACGGUGACAGCAUUCCAAGCCAAUUCUAUAACUGAAACAACAGAUGAUUGGUGUUGCUACAUGAAAUGUAGUAUCCCAAGCCAAUCUCGUCACUGAACCAUCACAUAAUUGGUGUUGCUGCACGCAAUGCAGUAUCUAAAGCCUUAAUCCCGUCACUGAACCAUCAAAUGAUUGGUGUUUGCUACAUGCAAUACUUGUGAACCAUCACAUGAUUAGCGUUGCUAAUUUUUUGUUCUUUGCCAAAUCACUUAAUUAAUCUUUGCUAUAAUUAGUAUAUGAGAGUCUAUGAUAGAAAGGAGAAAGCAAAAUAAAACCCACAAAUCCGAAGAAAAAUAUGGGAGAUGGUGAUGAGGACCGCAAGACAAUCCCAGCCAUUAAUCUGAAAAUUUUUCCAGAUGAAGAAGAGUACAGGAAACUGAGGGAAGCAUUACAGACAUGGGGUUGCUUCAGGUUUGUGAACCACAGGAUCCCAGUGGCUCUGAUGUCAGAGAUGAAAUGUGUGGUCAGAUCUUUGCUUGACCUACCCAUAUGGAGAUCAAGAAGCAGAACAAAGGUGGCAAAGACUUAGCUGGCUACAUAGCACCAAGCAAACUCAACCCACUUUAUGAAACUUUUGGUCUCUAUGACUUGGCCUCACAUCAGGCUGUUUAUAGCUUUUGCUCUCCGUUAGGCGCGUUAGAUGCCUCUUCCCACCAAAGUUAAGAUUUCUACUACAACCUUAAGACAUGCAAUGAUUAUUUAGUCAAGUAACACUUGAUUAUCAUUUUUGUGAACAUCUAUAUAUUAAGCUUAUCACAUAUUGCAUAUUUGUCACAAAAUGUGAGAUGCCUAGCAUUAUUAACAGUUAUUAACAGUUAUAUAUGUAGUCGAUAACAGAGAAUAUCAUAUCUAACUAUAUAAAUGUUAAAUGAUGAAUGUAUUAAGUGAAGACUAGAUAAUUGAAAGUGCAUGCUGAUGAUGAUUUUUUUCGACCCAAAAAAAAUGAAUAAAUUGAUGAUGAGGAUUUACAUUAAUCUUGUUUCCUUUCUUAUUAUGUUGCUUAAUUUCUCGGCCGAAAGCGAACUGCCGGAGGAAUUCUUCUGGAAAACCGACCGUAUACGACUUUUCUCAGACAGGUGGGACCACGAGUGGUUCCGAAGUAUACAAAACUACAGACAACGUCCUAGUUUUGUACGGUUGGCCGCAAACGGUCGGACGUAAGAAUUUCUUAUCUCACAUGAAAGACGUGCUAAUCUUUUUGUUCUUGCCGACCCCUUAAUUAGUCAAAAACAAAUGCAUAUGGUACACUCAUUCAAUCCCAAAUGAACAAUCCGAUCCAAAUGUCCAAAUAAAAAGGGGAGUUCGGAAGGCUCGUAGUAUCCACUUUUGUAUUCGAAGUCUCAACAAUUCAGAAAUGGGAGAAGGAGAGGAAGAUUGCAGGACAAUCCCAGCCAUUGAUCUGAAAAAAUUUCCAGAUGCAGAAGAGUACAGGAAGCUGAGGGAAGCAUCAGAGACAUGGGGAUGCUUCAGGCUUGUGAACCACAUGAUCCCACCGGCUCUGAUGUCAGAGAUGAAAUCAGUGGUCAGAUCUUUGCUGGACCUGCCCAUGGAGAUCAAGAAGCAGAACAAGGAUGUGAUAGCGGGCAGUGGGUACAUGGCUCCCAGCAAAGUCAACCCUCUCUACGAAGCUUUGGGGCUCUACGACUUGGGAUCGGGUCAGGCUGUCGACAGCUUUUGCUCUCAGUUGAAUGCUU
This 38251-nucleotide long non-coding RNA is filed under the name Malus domestica (apple). RNAcentral's name for it is "long non-coding RNA (MDOM_LNC001461)". The record is from RNAcentral. Lineage: Eukaryota; Viridiplantae; Streptophyta; Magnoliopsida; Rosales; Rosaceae.